This 72-nucleotide transfer RNA is filed under the name Pangasianodon hypophthalmus (striped catfish). It matches the Rfam family "tRNA". From Rfam's summary of the family: Transfer RNA (tRNA) molecules are approximately 80 nucleotides in length. The record is from Rfam by way of RNAcentral. Lineage: Eukaryota; Metazoa; Chordata; Actinopteri; Siluriformes; Pangasiidae.
UCAAUGGAGGACUAGUGGUUAGGCCACAGCGCUCUCACCGCUGUGGCCCGGGUUCGAUUCCCGGCCAGGGAG